GUCCACGCCGUAAACGAUGGGCACUAGAUGCUUGGGGGAGCGACCCCCUGAGUGUCGACGCUAACGCAUUAAGUGCCCCGCCUGGGGAGUACGGCCGCAAGGCUGAAACUCAAAGGAAUUGACGGGGGCCCGCACAAGCGGUGGAGCAUGUGGUUUAAUUCGACGCAACGCGAAGAACCUUACCUAGGCUUGACAUAGCCGAGAAAGCCUCCAGAAACGGAGGCCCCUCUUCGGAGUUCGGUUACAGGUGCUGCAUGGCUGUCGU
RNAcentral lists this ribosomal RNA (265 nucleotides) under uncultured bacterium. RNAcentral describes it as "partial 16S ribosomal RNA". It matches the Rfam family "Bacterial small subunit ribosomal RNA", at positions 793 to 1055 of the family's 1533-position model. The record is from RNAcentral.